Megalobrama amblycephala (Wuchang bream) is the source of this 1191-nucleotide long non-coding RNA. RefSeq lists it as uncharacterized. The transcript has 3 exons. The record is from RefSeq and is a predicted model, not a curated record. NCBI's taxonomy places the organism in Eukaryota, Metazoa, Chordata, Actinopteri, Cypriniformes, Xenocyprididae.
CUGACAGACAGCGUUUUCUUUAUGGGCCGGUCUCGGCUGAAAUAGUUGUACUCGCGGCAGGUCCAUAUAACUCGGUAUAGAUCUAUCGGCCCGAGUUCGUUUCGUAAUAGGCGGGCCCCCAAAUAUCAAGCACUUUUGGGCCGAUUCAGGUUUAAGCGCGCCAACAUCGACUCAAUUUCAGAAUCAGUGAAAAGAUAAUGGGCCAGAGCCGUGUGGACUGUACGGCUGACAGACGGCUUUUUCUGAACGGGCCAAUCACGACUGAAAGCUCGUUAUCUGUUUUCGGCCCGAGCUCGUUUGUCACGGGCGGGCCACUGCUGGAGUUAAGGACUUCAGCCGCCUGAAAAAGAGUUUUGGCGGUUAAAUCCUGAGGAGAAUCCUGCAGUCAACAUUUCAUGAUCGAGAGAAAGGAUCAGCUGCAAAACGCUGCAGUUCAGAGAAACCCUGCUGAAAUGGAGGAUGAGGGGACCAUGAAGAGGUGGCUGCAACUGGCAGCAAAUUGAAAGGGCGGAUGCAUGAACAGAUGGUUGAGAUGACCACAACAGCCCUGAAUGUCAGCAGAGAACAUGACAACUAAACAAGCUCUGGAGACCGAUCCGCUGUGAAGACCUCGUCGACACAACAGUCUACAGCACAGAUCUUCAGCAAAGAUCACGAGAACCAGACGAGACCUUUGCAAGGCCACUUCAACUUCUCUUCCCUCUACAUAUGCCAUUGUGCUGUGUUCGAUCCUCAAGCUGAAUGAUAUCAGUCCACAAUCUAACUUCUGAUGCAGCUGAAUCAUAAUCACACUGUGUUUGUUUGGCCAGAGGAAAACUGGCCCUCGACUGAGUCUGGUUUCUCCCAGGGUUUUUUCUUCAUUCUGUCUUCUGAUGGAGUUUGGGUUCUUGUCACUAUCGCCUCUGGCUUGCUUAGUUGGACACCUACUUUUCAAUAAUAUUGAUGACUGCAUUGACACUAUUGGAUGAGAACUCAACAGAGCUGGAUUAUGACAUUACUGUUUUCUGCAGAACUGCUUUAUAGCUGAAUUGAACUCAUUGAACUGAACUGAAACAACACUGAAAUGACUUCAGCUGAACAAUCACACUGUCUUUUGCUCCAUUACAGUAUUUAAUUCUGUUUGCAUAAUUGAAUUCACUAUUUUCCAGUUUAUCACUGUAAAGCUUCUUUGAAACAAACUGUAAUGUAGGU